This 67-nucleotide transfer RNA is filed under the name Nomophila noctuella. RNAcentral describes it as "tRNA-Phe". The record is from RNAcentral. Lineage: Eukaryota; Metazoa; Arthropoda; Insecta; Lepidoptera; Crambidae.
AUUUAAAUAGCUUAUUAAUAGAGUAUAAUAUUGAAGAUAUUAGGGAGAUUGAUUUAAUCUUUAAAUA